Molecule: long non-coding RNA, 1063 nt
Filed under: Rattus norvegicus (Norway rat)
Lineage: Eukaryota; Metazoa; Chordata; Mammalia; Rodentia; Muridae
Description: long non-coding RNA NONRATT004504
Source: RNAcentral
UUGUUAGUAGAAUCUUUUUUUAUUCAGAAAAAAAAAAAAGAACAAAACAAAAAAAAAGUAAAACAAAAAUGAAACCCAAAAACAAUUUUUUCCCAAACACACACAGGAGGGGGUAUGGGUAGGGGGAGGUAUCUGUCCAUCCAGCCCCAGCCCCCAGCCCAUGUGGUUUUGGCAGCAAUAAGGGAAAUGGGGUAAUGGCCCAAAAAAUAAUGGUGUGUGUGUGUAUGGAAAGAAGGGGGUGCAAAAGCCAAAGGGAGCGGUGGGGGAAGGGACAGAUGAGGUCAGUACUGGGAACGCCGCAGGUGAGAGGCCAUUUCAUAACAUUUCUUGUUGAUCAAACCACCGUGGACACCUUCUUUGCCCAUCAGCAGGACUAGCGCUGGAGGAAAGAGAAAGGAAGCUAGGACCCAGGUGUCACAAUUCAACCCAGCCAGCUGUUCAGCAGCUGUCCAGCCCCGGGGGUUGUAACCUAACCUCAUUCCCUCCUCCCCUUAUACACAGGCAGGCUGUCAGUCACCCUAAAACAAUAGAGCUUUUCAAAGAAGAAAAAAAGCUUUAAGACUAGUAAAGAAAGAACAAAAUUUAGAGGUCAUAGGCUUACAGGUUGUAGACUGAUGUGGCUAGGAACUGCUUCCUACCUCAGGUCUUUACAGAACUCAAGAUUAGAGCCAAAUGCUGACUUAAGAUUCCAACAGUCUACUCCCAACAAACUAAUCUCAAAAAGCUCAAAGCAAGAAGACACUUAAGAGGUAAUGUAGUUUCUUUACACAAUGGGGAUAUGGGGAGCCAUCCAAGGUUCCCAUAUCCAGCAGAGUAAAUACUGUUUUGCAGCUCUGACACACAUAAAACCAAGUGACUAACAGGAAGUUAGGGAUUUCAAAGCCAGCGAAUCAAACUUACUCUUGGCAGUCAUGGUGACAGUGACAUUGAAGGUGGUGGCAGGGACAGCAGCAGCCUUAUCCCUUCACUUUUACCGUCUCAGAACUUCUCGCAAAGUUCCCCUACUCCGAGCCCUGCCGGAUGGCGGGAAGGGAGGGUGAGGGGACUUCCGGGAUUGGCCUCA